UUAAUUCAGACGUCUUAUUUAAUUUCUUUUGUUGAUUUAUUUAUUUUUAUUUGAUGUUAAGAUUGAGGGGGAUUAGCUCCUUGUUCUGUUUUUAUAAUUGAUUUUAGGUUAAUUUAGUUUUGUGGAUUUUAUAGUGAUUUUCUAUUUGAUUAUGUUAAAAUUUUAUUUGUUCUUUUUUUAAUUUUUUUUAAUUUAAAUUAUUUAUUGAAAUGUUUUCUUUACUUUUGGUAUGUGUAGUAAUUAUUGUGUAAUUAGUAAAUUUUGUUGGUUGUUUUGUGAGAAAGAUGGAGUGUUAGUUGCUUUUGAGGAAUUCGGCAAAUCUUAUGUCCGCCUGUUUAACAAAAACAUCUCUUCUUGUUAGUUUUUGAAGUAUGGCCUGCCCGCUGACUGUAGGUUGAAGGGCCGCGGUAUUUUGACCGUGCAAAGGUAGCAUAAUCAUUAGUUCUUUAAUUGUGAUCUGGUAUGAAUGGCUUGACGAGACAUGAGCUGUCUUAGAGGUAUUGAUUUAUUGAACUUGGUUUUUGAGUUAGAAUUCUUAAAUGUUUUUAUGGGACGAGAAGACCCUAUAGAGUUUUACACUUUUCUUACUUGUUUGUUGUUUGUUGUUUACAUUGAGUGGGAAGAUUGUUUUGUUGGGGUGAUGGGAGGAAUAUUAUUUAACUCCUCUUUGUUUUUUUAUAUUUAUUUAUAUCUUUUUGAUCCAUUUAUUUUGAUUAUAAGAUUAAAUUACC
This 731-nucleotide ribosomal RNA is filed under the name Nasutitermes octopilis. Its description in RNAcentral is "partial large subunit ribosomal RNA". The stretch from base 248 to 490 matches the Rfam family "Bacterial large subunit ribosomal RNA", at positions 1710 to 2019 of the family's 2925-position model. Lineage: Eukaryota; Metazoa; Arthropoda; Insecta; Blattodea; Termitidae. The record is from RNAcentral.